This 527-nucleotide ribosomal RNA is filed under the name uncultured Arthrobacter sp. Its description in RNAcentral is "bacterial SSU rRNA". It matches the Rfam family "Bacterial small subunit ribosomal RNA", at positions 93 to 632 of the family's 1533-position model. The record is from RNAcentral. Lineage: Bacteria; Bacillati; Actinomycetota; Actinomycetes; Micrococcales; Micrococcaceae.
UAGUGGCGAACGGGUGAGUAACACGUGAGUAACCUGCCCUUAACUCUGGGAUAAGCCUGGGAAACUGGGUCUAAUACCGGAUAUGACUCCUCAUCGCAUGGUGGGGGGUGGAAAGCUUUAUUGUGGUUUUGGAUGGACUCGCGGCCUAUCAGCUUGUUGGUGAGGUAAUGGCUCACCAAGGCGACGACGGGUAGCCGGCCUGAGAGGGUGACCGGCCACACUGGGACUGAGACACGGCCCAGACUCCUACGGGAGGCAGCAGUGGGGAAUAUUGCACAAUGGGCGAAAGCCUGAUGCAGCGACGCCGCGUGAGGGAUGACGGCCUUCGGGUUGUAAACCUCUUUCAGUAGGGAAGAAGCGAAAGUGACGGUACCUGCAGAAGAAGCGCCGGCUAACUACGUGCCAGCAGCCGCGGUAAUACGUAGGGCGCAAGCGUUAUCCGGAAUUAUUGGGCGUAAAGAGCUCGUAGGCGGUUUGUCGCGUCUGCCGUGAAAGUCCGGGGCUCAACUCCGGAUCUGCGGUGGGUA